AAGCUCGUAGUUGAAUUUCGGGAUCAGACUGUCGGUCGUGCCUCGGUACGCACUGGCAUUAUUGGUUCCUACCUUCUGAAGAACCGCGAUGUCAUUAAUUUGGUGUCGCGGGGAAUCAGGACUGUUACUUUGAAAAAAUUAGAGUGUUUAAAGCAGGCUUACGCUUGAAUACAUUAGCAUGGAAUAAUGAAAUAGGACGUUUGAUUCUAUUUUGUUGGUUUCUAGGAUCGACGUAAUGAUUAUAGGGAUAGUUGGG
Molecule: ribosomal RNA, 256 nt
Filed under: uncultured Glomus
Lineage: Eukaryota; Fungi; Glomeromycota; Glomeromycetes; Glomerales; Glomeraceae
Description: partial 18S ribosomal RNA
Rfam family: Eukaryotic small subunit ribosomal RNA
Source: RNAcentral